This 2925-nucleotide ribosomal RNA is filed under the name Escherichia coli. RNAcentral's name for it is "23S ribosomal RNA". It matches the Rfam family "Bacterial large subunit ribosomal RNA". The record is from RNAcentral. Lineage: Bacteria; Pseudomonadati; Pseudomonadota; Gammaproteobacteria; Enterobacterales; Enterobacteriaceae.
GGGUUGUGAGGUUAAGCGACUAAGCGUACACGGUGGAUGCCCUGGCAGUCAGAGGCGAUGAAGGACGUGCUAAUCUGCGAUAAGCGUCGGUAAGGUGAUAUGAACCGUUAUAACCGGCGAUUUCCGAAUGGGGAAACCCAGUGUGAUUCGUCACACUAUCAUUAACUGAAUCCAUAGGUUAAUGAGGCGAACCGGGGGAACUGAAACAUCUAAGUACCCCGAGGAAAAGAAAUCAACCGAGAUUCCCCCAGUAGCGGCGAGCGAACGGGGAGCAGCCCAGAGCCUGAAUCAGUGUGUGUGUUAGUGGAAGCGUCUGGAAAGGCGCGCGAUACAGGGUGACAGCCCCGUACACAAAAAUGCACAUGCUGUGAGCUCGAUGAGUAGGGCGGGACACGUGGUAUCCUGUCUGAAUAUGGGGGGACCAUCCUCCAAGGCUAAAUACUCCUGACUGACCGAUAGUGAACCAGUACCGUGAGGGAAAGGCGAAAAGAACCCCGGCGAGGGGAGUGAAAAAGAACCUGAAACCGUGUACGUACAAGCAGUGGGAGCACGCUUAGGCGUGUGACUGCGUACCUUUUGUAUAAUGGGUCAGCGACUUAUAUUCUGUAGCAAGGUUAACCGAAUAGGGGAGCCGAAGGGAAACCGAGUCUUAACUGGGCGUUAAGUUGCAGGGUAUAGACCCGAAACCCGGUGAUCUAGCCAUGGGCAGGUUGAAGGUUGGGUAACACUAACUGGAGGACCGAACCGACUAAUGUUGAAAAAUUAGCGGAUGACUUGUGGCUGGGGGUGAAAGGCCAAUCAAACCGGGAGAUAGCUGGUUCUCCCCGAAAGCUAUUUAGGUAGCGCCUCGUGAAUUCAUCUCCGGGGGUAGAGCACUGUUUCGGCAAGGGGGUCAUCCCGACUUACCAACCCGAUGCAAACUGCGAAUACCGGAGAAUGUUAUCACGGGAGACACACGGCGGGUGCUAACGUCCGUCGUGAAGAGGGAAACAACCCAGACCGCCAGCUAAGGUCCCAAAGUCAUGGUUAAGUGGGAAACGAUGUGGGAAGGCCCAGACAGCCAGGAUGUUGGCUUAGAAGCAGCCAUCAUUUAAAGAAAGCGUAAUAGCUCACUGGUCGAGUCGGCCUGCGCGGAAGAUGUAACGGGGCUAAACCAUGCACCGAAGCUGCGGCAGCGACGCUUAUGCGUUGUUGGGUAGGGGAGCGUUCUGUAAGCCUGUGAAGGUGUACUGUGAGGUAUGCUGGAGGUAUCAGAAGUGCGAAUGCUGACAUAAGUAACGAUAAAGCGGGUGAAAAGCCCGCUCGCCGGAAGACCAAGGGUUCCUGUCCAACGUUAAUCGGGGCAGGGUGAGUCGACCCCUAAGGCGAGGCCGAAAGGCGUAGUCGAUGGGAAACAGGUUAAUAUUCCUGUACUUGGUGUUACUGCGAAGGGGGGACGGAGAAGGCUAUGUUGGCCGGGCGACGGUUGUCCCGGUUUAAGCGUGUAGGCUGGUUUUCCAGGCAAAUCCGGAAAAUCAAGGCUGAGGCGUGAUGACGAGGCACUACGGUGCUGAAGCAACAAAUGCCCUGCUUCCAGGAAAAGCCUCUAAGCAUCAGGUAACAUCAAAUCGUACCCCAAACCGACACAGGUGGUCAGGUAGAGAAUACCAAGGCGCUUGAGAGAACUCGGGUGAAGGAACUAGGCAAAAUGGUGCCGUAACUUCGGGAGAAGGCACGCUGAUAUGUAGGUGAAGCGACUUGCUCGUGGAGCUGAAAUCAGUCGAAGAUACCAGCUGGCUGCAACUGUUUAUUAAAAACACAGCACUGUGCAAACACGAAAGUGGACGUAUACGGUGUGACGCCUGCCCGGUGCCGGAAGGUUAAUUGAUGGGGUUAGCGCAAGCGAAGCUCUUGAUCGAAGCCCCGGUAAACGGCGGCCGUAACUAUAACGGUCCUAAGGUAGCGAAAUUCCUUGUCGGGUAAGUUCCGACCUGCACGAAUGGCGUAAUGAUGGCCAGGCUGUCUCCACCCGAGACUCAGUGAAAUUGAACUCGCUGUGAAGAUGCAGUGUACCCGCGGCAAGACGGAAAGACCCCGUGAACCUUUACUAUAGCUUGACACUGAACAUUGAGCCUUGAUGUGUAGGAUAGGUGGGAGGCUUUGAAGUGUGGACGCCAGUCUGCAUGGAGCCGACCUUGAAAUACCACCCUUUAAUGUUUGAUGUUCUAACGUGGACCCGUAAUCCGGGUUGCGGACAGUGUCUGGUGGGUAGUUUGACUGGGGCGGUCUCCUCCUAAAGAGUAACGGAGGAGCACGAAGGUUGGCUAAUCCUGGUCGGACAUCAGGAGGUUAGUGCAAUGGCAUAAGCCAGCUUGACUGCGAGCGUGACGGCGCGAGCAGGUGCGAAAGCAGGUCAUAGUGAUCCGGUGGUUCUGAAUGGAAGGGCCAUCGCUCAACGGAUAAAAGGUACUCCGGGGAUAACAGGCUGAUACCGCCCAAGAGUUCAUAUCGACGGCGGUGUUUGGCACCUCGAUGUCGGCUCAUCACAUCCUGGGGCUGAAGUAGGUCCCAAGGGUAUGGCUGUUCGCCAUUUAAAGUGGUACGCGAGCUGGGUUUAGAACGUCGUGAGACAGUUCGGUCCCUAUCUGCCGUGGGCGCUGGAGAACUGAGGGGGGCUGCUCCUAGUACGAGAGGACCGGAGUGGACGCAUCACUGGUGUUCGGGUUGUCAUGCCAAUGGCACUGCCCGGUAGCUAAAUGCGGAAGAGAUAAGUGCUGAAAGCAUCUAAGCACGAAACUUGCCCCGAGAUGAGUUCUCCCUGACCCUUUAAGGGUCCUGAAGGAACGUUGAAGACGACGACGUUGAUAGGCCGGGUGUGUAAGCGCAGCGAUGCGUUGAGCUAACCGGUACUAAUGAACCGUGAGGCUUAACCUUACAACGCCGAAG